UGUUUCGAAUAACAGAACUUAAACACGUAUACACCGGCAUAAAAGACUGAAGCACAAGCAAUCCACCUCUUUUCGCGGUUAUCGUGGUUAGAGAAAGACAUACGUACUUUUCAAAGUGAAUUUAACAGAUUACAAUGAAGUACCAAAGCGACGAUAUGGUAGCAAAUAACGCUAGAGAGAUAAGAUUGAGGAGGAGUGGGUAUAUCCUAAGGUCAAUGAGAUCAGUAAAUCGGAGGAUGCGGGAACUAACAAACAUGUUCCCCGAAGCGGCAACAACAUCCGAUGAUACAGACAUUGGGGAGGAGCACAGCAGGGAGGAGAUGAAUGCGAGCGGAGGAGGAGGAGGAGACGAAUGCGAGCGGCAACCUUCAUCGGAACAGCCCUGAGGAUGGAGGUGGAGGAGCGGUCACAACAAGCGCAAUCACCGGAAUCAACGCCACCCCCCACAUCACCAGAAGCAACGCCGCCCCAUUAAACGAAAGUCAUUAAUCAUAUUUGCUAAGUAAUAACUCAAUAUAACACUUGUCUUCAAAUUUAUGUGAUAUAUCUUCCAAUGUUUCCCAAUCAAAAAUUUGUUUGUUAAUUGUCUUUUUCUCAGAUGUUAUUACUGUGUGUGUUGGUGGGUUCACCUUCCUAAAUACCCUGUCAUUCUCGAGCAUUGCCAAGUCUAAUAAUGGAACACUGUUUUUACUGAAUAUAAGAUCAGAACACACAGCAAUGACACUUUUAUUUAUACUUAUUUCUUUCUUUGGAAAUAAAAUGCAUCCAAUCAUACUACAUUUUGCAACAUUUGUUAUAGAGUUUGGUAAAUUCAAACUUCUUCUAUUUAACGUUAAACAAAUUUCAUUACUCAUAUUACUGGUCUUAUCUUCACAGUAAUCGGGGUCUCUCCAAUAUAUUGCUUUGGUGAAUAGAAUGAUGGUAGUUUUAUAGGGCUGUCUUCAUCAUCCGUUAACUUGAUUGAGAUAUGUUGAAAUUGAAGGUUUUCUAUUGGUGUAAAUAUGAUGCUCUUCGGUUCAUAAUAUUUCACAUAUGUGUCAACUUGUGUAUCAUAAAAUGCAAACUUUCGCAGAACUCUAUUCUUAUCAAGACCUGCUAGGUAGUUAUUUUCCAAAAUGUCACAUUCCACAUUGAUAGCUGAUUCUGGAAUAAUGUUUAUGCCAUCCUUUAUUCUUCGAGCACAAUUAAUUUUAGUAUAUUGCACCGAUUGAUUGUUUGUUUCCUCUUUAUAUAGAUACAAUGUCAUGAUUUGACUGGGAAAAAAGUUAUCGUGUAAUUGGUAUUUAGGAACUUUAAUCACACCAAGAUUAAGCUUCUUUUCAGGGGUUGGUGAAUGUUCGCAUUCGCUGUUGAAAUUCGGAAGACACACCAGGAAUUGAGUGACAAUUCUCUAAUUAAAGACACUCUAAUAAACACCUUGAAGACUGACAGAGUGCAGACAUCGAUAGAAAAUAAUAGUGGCUUCGAGAGACUGUGUAAAUUUAUUGUGGAUGGGAGAACCCCUCAUGACCGAGAAGAAAUCAGACACUUGUGCAAACUCUUUCUGCUAAUCUCCAUCAGUAGUUCAAUUGUUGUCACAAUAUUUAGCCAUGUUGGUUUUAUUUUACUUAAAAGAUUUAUGAAGUAAAAAAAAAUCUGUCUCAGAAAUGUUACUGUCUUUUUAUGUGAAACCUCUAUAACUACUGCGCAUGCGCAAAACACCUAAAAUCUCAAAAACUUUUUUAAUCUCAAAAAACGACUCCUCAUCCUACACGACAUCCCCCCACACAGUGAACUCCUACGCAUUCACCUCCUCCUGCAAAUCACCCUGCUUCGCAGUGCCAGCUGAGUUGAUAUCCUCGUAUACUUACCUACUUAUAUAACCAUGUUAAAAAUUGAUACACAGAAUCCUAACGAUUCCUUGUGCUUAUAGAGAGACGGCAACCCCUUCUAUCCAAGAGCCGAUGGCAAAUGAUGCCACCUAGGAGUUGAACCCAGCCAUCAUAUAUAACCAUGUUAAAAAUUUAUAAACAGAAUCCUACCGAUUCCUUGUGCUUAUAGAGAGACGGAAACCCCUUCUAUCCAAGUGGCCAUGGCAAAUGAUGCCACCUAGGAAGUUGUACCUAGCAACAACAAAUAACCAUGUUGAAAAUUUAUACCUAGAAUCCUACCGAUUCUUUGUGUUUAUAGAGAGACGGAAACCCAUGGCAAAUGAUGCCACCUAGGAAGUUGUACCCAGCCACCAUAUAUAACCAUGUUUAAAGUUAUACACAUAAUCCUACCUAUUUCUUGUUCUUAGAGAGAGACGGCAAUCACAUCAUCGGGGAUUGCUUGCCAUAUUGACAGGACUGGUUCUAGCAGCCCUGCUGAACCGAACUUCCAUCCAUGAGAUAAAGGAGAUGAAGGAGGCUUUUCUUUGUGAAAGUGUCUCCAAAUGUAAGAUUGAUAAUUUGCUCUUCGUCAAUGUUGUGCCAGUGAAUCCUCAGCAGGUGAAAGCCUCUCUGUAUUCUUCCUCUUCAUUAAACGCCAUUUUGAGGAUCUUGCUGCUGCAAGGGAUUGGCUAGAAAGAUCGCGAUAGACACAUUUUAUGGUGAAUGGUGAAAGCUCUGGACAUAGCUCAACCUGUAGUCCAAAAUCACAAAUUAAACUGGCAAACUCUGGAGUUCUUUUCACUUUCUCAAACACUGAGACUUUUCCGUGACCAAAGAAGCCAAUGAUUGCAUCUGCACCUGUGAAGGCAUCUAUUUGCACAAGGACUGAAGCUGGCCCUGAGGAGCAUAUUUUUUGACAAUCAAACAGAUGGCCUUUCUGACAUAAGAGCAUUUGGCCAA
This is a non-coding RNA of Rhopilema esculentum, 2810 nucleotides long. The record is from RefSeq and is a predicted model, not a curated record. NCBI's taxonomy places the organism in Eukaryota, Metazoa, Cnidaria, Scyphozoa, Rhizostomeae, Rhizostomatidae.